Molecule: ribosomal RNA, 157 nt
Filed under: Bacillus sp. LDC-8-b2
Lineage: Bacteria; Bacillati; Bacillota; Bacilli; Caryophanales; Bacillaceae
Description: partial 16S ribosomal RNA
Rfam family: Bacterial small subunit ribosomal RNA
Source: RNAcentral
ACGAAGUCUGACGGAGCACGCCGCGUGAGCGAAGAAGGUCUUCGGAUCGUAAAGCUCUGUUGUCAGGGAAGAACAAGUACCGUUCGAACAGGGCGGUACCUUGACGGUACCUGACGAGGAAGCCACGGCUAACUACGUGCCAGCAGCCGCGGUAAUA